This 487-nucleotide ribosomal RNA is filed under the name uncultured bacterium. RNAcentral describes it as "partial 16S ribosomal RNA". It matches the Rfam family "Bacterial small subunit ribosomal RNA", at positions 28 to 507 of the family's 1533-position model. The record is from RNAcentral.
GAUGAACGCUAGCGAUAGGCUUAACACUUGCAAGUCGAGGGGCAGCACAAGGUAGCUUGCUAUCUGGGUGGCGACCGGCGCACGGGUGCGUAACGCGUAUGCAACUUGCCCUAUACAGGAGGAUAACCCGUCGUAAGACGGACUAAUACUGCGUAUGCUCACAACUUGGCAUCAAGUGGUGAGGAAAGAAAUUCGGUAUAGGAUAGGCAUGCGUCCCAUUAGCUUGUUGGUGAGGUAACGGCUCACCAAGGCAACGAUGGGUAGGGGAACUGAGAGGUUUAUCCCCCACACGGGUACUGAGACACGGACCAGACUCCUACGGGAGGCAGCAGUGAGGAAUAUUGGUCAAUGGGCGCGAGCCUGAACCAGCCAAGUCGCGUGAAGGAUGACUGUCUUAUGGAUUGUAAACUUCUUUUAUACGGGAAUAACAAGAGUCACGGGUGACUCCCUGCAUGUACCGUAUGAAUAAGCAUCGGCUAACUCCGUG